RNAcentral lists this ribosomal RNA (1320 nucleotides) under Triticum aestivum (bread wheat). Its description in RNAcentral is "partial small subunit ribosomal RNA". Lineage: Eukaryota; Viridiplantae; Streptophyta; Magnoliopsida; Poales; Poaceae. The record is from RNAcentral.
AUGAAAUACCUGGGGUUGCCGCUCACCCUCACCAGAACCAGGAUCAUGCACCUCCAGUUCGUCCCUGAUCGGAUUAGGGCAAGGUUGGUAGGGUGGAAAGGAAAGCUAAUGUCUAUCGCUGGCAGGCGGGUGCUAGUCCGAGCUGUUCUAAGCGCAAUUCCUACCUUUGCUCUCACCGUGCUUCGUAUGCCGAAAAAAUUUCUCAAGGAGAUUGACAAGGUGCGGCGGCGUUUCCUCUGGGCGCCGGAGGAGGAGCUGUCCGGUGGCAAAUGUAAGGUGAACUGGUCCAAGGUUUGCUCUCCGCUGGACAAGGGCGGGCUUGGGGUCCUCGAUCUCGAGCGUUUCGGCAGAGCUCUCCGGCAAAGGUGGCUCUGGCUCACAUGGAAGCACCCGGAGAGGCCAUGGGCGGGCAUGGAAGUGCCGUGCUCGGAAACAGACAAGGCGUUCUUCAGCGCGGCUACGUCAGUCACCGUUGGAAAUGGCCAGACAGCUCGUUUCUGGACCUGCUCCUGGCUGCCAACGGGCACGCUCAGGGUGCUGUUUCCCGCUCUAUAUCAGCACUCGAAGUGGAAGAAUAGGAGUAUGGCCGAUGCCCUGCAUGAGGAUCGCUGGAUCCGAGACCUGGCGCAUGGACAGACAGACCUGGUGGUGCAAGACUGCGUGUGUUUGGCACGGCUGCUGCGAACUGCUUCGAUCUCCCUCAACCUGGACUCCGCAGAUGAAAUUAGUUGGAGUCUCGAGGCCAAUGGCUGCUACUCGGCAUCGUCAGCAUAUCGAGCACAAUUCCAGACCAACCACGGCUCGGUUUUCCCACAGCUCAUUUGGAAAACAUGGGCGCCCGGGAAGCUGAAGGUUUUCUGCUGGCUGCGGAUGCUGGAUAGGUUGUGGUGCAACGACCGACUGCAGCGACGAGGAUGGCCAAACUCAUAUUUCUGCCAAUUCUGUAUGCAGAACCUUGAGACUGCUGAGCACGUUUUCUGGACAUGCCCGUUCACUGCAUCACUCUGGAACAGCUUGUCGACAUGGCAAGGCUGUGAGGCCCUGAGGACGCAGCCUGAAGACAACGACACAACGACAGCUGAUCGGGUGUCGCGGAUUGUGGGGAGCACAAAGCCAGAGUUCAGAAAGGGCAUCAAAUCACUGGCGAUGUUGACGCUCUGGGAGAUCUGGUUGCACCGCAACAGUUGCACUUUUAGAGAAAAGGAGCCCUCCGCGACGGCGGUCAUGCAGGCGAUCAGGAGAGGUAUUGACCUCUGGCGCCAAGCUGGUGCAUCCUGCCUAAUGCACCCGUUCACUCUGCCUCCAGAAGGGAUAGGCUGA